CCGCGUGCGGGAGGACGGCCUGUGGGUUGUAAACCGCUUUUCUCAGGGAAGAAGAUCUGACGGUACUUGAUGAAUCAGCAUCGGCUAACUCCGUGCCAGCAGCCGCGGUAAUACGGAGGAUGCAAGCGUUAUCCGGAAUAAUUGGGCGUAAAGCGUUCGUAGGUGGUGAUGUAAGUCUGCUGUUAAAGCGUGUAGCUCAACUACAUAUAGGCAGUGGAAACUACAUGACUAGAGUGCGUUCGGGGCAGAGGGAAUUCCUGGUGUAGCGGUGAAAUGCGUAGAGAUCAGGAAGAACACCGGUGGCGAAGGCGCUCUACUAGACCGCAACUGACACUGAGGGACGAAAGCUAGGGGAGCGAAUGGGAUUAGAUACCCCAGUAGUC
Molecule: ribosomal RNA, 383 nt
Filed under: uncultured cyanobacterium
Lineage: Bacteria; Bacillati; Cyanobacteriota
Description: bacterial SSU rRNA
Rfam family: Bacterial small subunit ribosomal RNA
Source: RNAcentral